This 468-nucleotide ribosomal RNA is filed under the name uncultured bacterium. RNAcentral describes it as "partial 16S ribosomal RNA". It matches the Rfam family "Bacterial small subunit ribosomal RNA", at positions 28 to 507 of the family's 1533-position model. The record is from RNAcentral.
GACGAACGCUGGCGGCGUGCUUAACACAUGCGAGUCGAACGGAAAGGCCCUGCUUUUGUGGGGUGCUCGAGUGGCGAACGGGUGAGUAACACGUGAGUAACCUGCCCUUGACUUUGGGAUAACUUCAGGAAACUGGGGCUAAUACCGGAUAGGAGCUCCUGCUGCAUGGUGGGGGUUGGAAAGUUUCGGCGGUUGGGGAUGGACUCGCGGCUUAUCAGCUUGUUGGUGGGGUAGUGGCUUACCAAGGCUUUGACGGGUAGCCGGCCUGAGAGGGUGACCGGCCACAUUGGGACUGAGAUACGGCCCAGCCUCCUACGGGAGGCAGCAGUGGGGAAUAUUGCACAAUGGGCGGAAGCCUGAUGCAGCAACGCCGCGUGCGGGAUGACGGCUUUCGGGUUGUAAACCGCUUUCGCCUGUGACGAAGCGUGAGUGACGGUAAUGGGUAAAGAAGCACCGGCUAACUACGUG